Frankliniella occidentalis (western flower thrips) is the source of this 837-nucleotide long non-coding RNA. RefSeq lists it as uncharacterized. The transcript is spliced from 2 exons. The record is from RefSeq and is a predicted model, not a curated record. NCBI's taxonomy places the organism in Eukaryota, Metazoa, Arthropoda, Insecta, Thysanoptera, Thripidae.
GCCUUUGUAUAUUUUGCCAAAAAUGAAAGAAAUAAAAAUCGCUGGAAAUGAUUGGAAUUUGUCUAGGAGAGUCGCCUUUGACCUUCUCUGUCGAAAUUGCGUGCUUCCUGGCCCUCUUACAUCCCGUUUCUUCGACUAAAACUGCCUCUUUGGUUUGUUGCAGGAAGAUCGGCCUGGAGGUGUUUCUGUCCUGGACAUCAGACGUGCAGCGCAUGGAAUCAUCAGAUAUAAGUUGAGUUGGGGUCACAGUGAUAACCGUUGGUCCAGUUUUUUUUUUUACCUCCCUGUUAAUUCACCACCCACAUUGUGGAAGGGUCUAGCGGAGCCGUUCCGCUCAACGCUGUGGAGUCAGCGGACCCCUUGCAUGGGGACAAUACGUGCAACGCGUGACCUCACUGCGUCAAUGAGGGGGCUGGACGUGUCGCCCUGAGCCGUCCAAAAAACCUCCCCUCCCCCUGCCCUCCUCUCGGCUGCGGCUGCUGUGGAGGUAGUAGUGGGCUGCCGCCGCUGCUGCGGGGGCUGUGGGGGUAGUAGUAGUGGUAAUCCUACUGCUGCCACUGCGGCCGCUGCAUCAGAGACGUCUGUGACGUCACUGCGGUAGUUGUGGCUGUCUGCUACUACAUCCACAGUUACUACAGCUUCUAGCUAACUAGGUGUAGGAAAUCAAGUAAAAUGUCAGAUGUAGUGAUUUUCUAUUCUUUAUUGUUUCAAAUCAUUUACAUUAUAAGAGUGGCCAGCAUCAAGUCCAGGCAUAUCCCUAUGGACAAGAACCAGCAUCACUUCCUACUUUACUACGACUGUACCAUACAAAUGAAAUAAAUAGCACCAUUACUGUGA